AUUUCAGCCUAAAAAAGAAAAGGUCUGACCAAAAGAGAAGACAAGGUAAAAGACAGGCAUGAUUCUGUGUGGAAUUUUGGGACACAUCUGGUAAACACUGUCAUCAAGAACUUGAGUAUAGAGUACUGGAGUUUGAACCCAGGACCAUGGGCACUCUAUAUAAGACUUCUAAAGUGCAAGCAAUAAAACCAAGAAUCAAUAAGUGAGAUGGCAUCAAAUUAAAAAGCGUCUGAACAGCAAAGAGGAACAUGAAGUAAAACCCUACAGAAUGGUAGAAGACCUUUGCUACCUGAUCCUCAUGGAAUUAAUAUACAGAAUAUAUAAAGAACUCAAACAACUUAACAUCUCAAGAUCAAAUAAUCCAAUAUAUGGGCAAAAGAAUUAAAGAGUCAUUUUUCAAAAGAAGAAAUGAAAACGACCAGCAAAUACAUGAAAAAAUGUUCAACAACUCUAGCAACCAGGGAAAUGCAAAUCAAAUCUACAUUGAAAUUGUAUCUCACCUCAGUCAUAAUGGCAAUUGUCAAGAACACAAAUAAAAAUGUUGCUGAGAAAUUGGGAUAGAAGAUACACUAAUAUAUUGUUUGCUGGGACUGCAAAUUAGUACAACCACUCUGGAAAGCAGUAUGGAAAUUCCUCAAAAUAACCAGGAAUGGAACCACUGUAUGACCCAGCUCUCUCACUCUAUGAUGGGAUAAGAGCUAAGAUCAGUACACAAUAAGGAUACAGCAGCAUCAGUGUUCUUAACAAUGUGAUUCACAAUAUCCAUCCAAGCUAUGGAACCAGCCAAUAUACCUGUCAACAGAUAAAUGGAUGAAAAAAAAUGUGGUAUACAUAAACAAUGGAAUUUUAACUCAGCCAUAAAGAAGAAUGAUAUUAUGGCAUUUGCUGGUGAAUGAAUAGAACUAGAUAUCAUCAUACUAAGUGAAAUAAGCCAGACUCAGAAAGUUAAUGGUCAAAUCUUUUAUUAUGCAGAAAGAAAACCAAAAUAAGGAAUAAAAAGUGCAGGAAGGAGGAAAUCUCAUGAAAAUAGAAGAGAGAUCAGUGGAGAAGUGGAAGAGGAUUCAGGGUUUAUUGGGGAAGCGGGUAGGGGAAAAGGGAGGGAUGGUGGAAUGAGUCAGACCAAACUUUUUCUUUGUACAUAUAUGAGUAGACCACAGUGAAUUUCACUUUUAUCUAAAUCUAUAAUGCAGUAAUCUAAAAAAAAAUCUAUAGAUAAGUAUAAGGAAGUUCAGUAGAGGAAAAGGAAAAGGGGGAGGGAGGAAGGGAGGAAACAGGGAUAUGCUGGGGACAGAACUGGAGUAAACUGUGUUCCAUGCUUGUAUAAUUAUGUGGAAAUGAAUCCCAAAUAAAUGAUGAUUAAUUCCUGGAAUGUUUCUUGGAGUUUUAAGCCAAGGAGACUGCUAAGGAAAUGUGGCAAUAUUGGCAGAUGACUUCUAAUUUAAGCCUUGUUUGUAUUAUAAUAGAAAAACAACUUUGCAUGAUCCAUAAAAUCAAAAUAUUUUUUUGUGCAGAAACAAACAAAAAUUUUAUAACAGAAUGGGGGUUAGAGAAAGAAAAGGGCUUUGGGGUCCCAGACUAUGAGUACAUGGAUUAAGGAUAGAAGGCAUCCUGGAGAAAAGGCCUGUGAGCUGUACUUUGAAACAAAAAUAGAAAUUUAAGCUGAAGGGAUAAAUAUAAUGGUAGGCCAGUUGGAGCCUGAUGCACUUGUAUCAAACUGCUCAGAGGACAAUUAUCAAAUUAGUUCAUUAAUUUAAUUACUCCUAGCCAGAACCCUUUCUGUUAUAUGAGAUUAUAUGAUCACCAAGGAAAGAAUAUGAGAACUAUAAAUUUGUUAGUAUUCAUAAUAAUAAAAGUUUAUAUGUGUGUUCUAAUGUCUAUACAGAUCACAAAAUAUUUCUUGGCAAAAAAUUAGGUUACUGCAAACGGUAUAAAGUGAACCUCAACCCUAUGGUAUCUGACAUUAACUAUGGAAUGUUAAUUAUCAAAAACUCCUUUUCUGUUUUUCUUAUUUAGAAUAGUUCACCAAAGCUUUCAGUACAUUAAUUAAUUGCCAAAUGAUCCAGAACUUUAGCUCUAAGAAUAAAUAUUUCCCUUCCUUGAAGGAAGGUCUUACACUGUGUUAUUCUUAUUGAACCCUUCCCCCAACUAAACUAUUAAGGUUUAACUACAGACAUGAGGAUGCCCUUUCUGUCAGUCAGUAAGCUUACUAA
Molecule: non-coding RNA, 2210 nt
Organism: Ictidomys tridecemlineatus (thirteen-lined ground squirrel)
Lineage: Eukaryota; Metazoa; Chordata; Mammalia; Rodentia; Sciuridae
Source: RefSeq, a predicted model, not a curated record